UACGUAGGGUGCGAGCGUUGUCCGGAAUUAUUGGGCGUAAAGGGCUCGUAGGCGGUUUGUCGCGUCGGGAGUGAAAACUCAGGGCUUAACCCCGAGCCUGCUUCCGAUACGGGCAGACUAGAGGUAUGCAGGGGAGAACGGAAUUCCUGGUGUAGCGGUGAAAUGCGCAGAUAUCAGGAGGAACACCGGUGGCGAAGGCGGUUCUCUGGGCAUUACCUGACGCUGAGGAGCGAAAGUGUGGGGAGCGAACAGG
RNAcentral lists this ribosomal RNA (253 nucleotides) under uncultured bacterium. RNAcentral's name for it is "partial 16S ribosomal RNA". It matches the Rfam family "Bacterial small subunit ribosomal RNA", at positions 524 to 776 of the family's 1533-position model. The record is from RNAcentral.